This 74-nucleotide transfer RNA is filed under the name Alosa alosa (allis shad). RNAcentral describes it as "tRNA-OTHER". The record is from RNAcentral. Lineage: Eukaryota; Metazoa; Chordata; Actinopteri; Clupeiformes; Clupeidae.
GCAGCCGUGGCCUACUGGUUAGGGCAUCGGGCUUGUAACCAAAGGGUUGCCGGUUCGAUAUCCAACCAGUAGGA